UGGGGAAUAUUGCACAAUGGGCGGAAGCCUGAUGCAGCAACGCCGCGUGAGGGAUGACGGCCUUCGGGUUGUAAACCUCUUUUAGCAGGGAAGAAGCGAGAGUGACGGUACCUGCAGAAAAAGCGCCGGCUAACUACGUGCCAGCAGCCGCGGUAAUACGUAGGGCGCAAGCGUUAUCCGGAAUUAUUGGGCGUAAAGAGCUCGUAGGCGGUCUGUCGCGUCUGCUGUGAAAACCCGAGGCUCAACCUCGGGCCUGCAGUGGGUACGGGCAGACUAGAGUGCGGUAGGGGAGAUUGGAAUUCCUGGUGUAGCGGUGAAAUGCGCAGAUAUCAGGAGGAACACCGAUGGCGAAGGCAGAUCUCUGGGCCGUAACUGACGCUGAGGAGCGAAAGGGUGGGGAGCAAACAGGCUUAGAUACCCUGGUAGUCCACCCCGUAAACGUUGGGAACUAGUUGUGGGGACCUUUCCACGGUCUCCGUGACGCAGCUAACGCAUUAAGUUCCCCGCCUGGGGAGUACGGCCGCAAGGCUAAAACUCAAA
RNAcentral lists this ribosomal RNA (540 nucleotides) under uncultured bacterium. RNAcentral describes it as "partial 16S ribosomal RNA". It matches the Rfam family "Bacterial small subunit ribosomal RNA", at positions 355 to 905 of the family's 1533-position model. The record is from RNAcentral.